This 297-nucleotide ribosomal RNA is filed under the name uncultured bacterium. RNAcentral's name for it is "partial 16S ribosomal RNA". It matches the Rfam family "Bacterial small subunit ribosomal RNA", at positions 32 to 332 of the family's 1533-position model. The record is from RNAcentral.
GGUAACGCUGGCGGCGUGCCUAAACAUGCAAGUCGAACGGGUAGCCUUCGGGCUGCCAGUGGCAGACGGCUGAGUAACGCGUGGGUGACCGACCUCGAAGUGGGGAAUAACUGCCCGAAAGGGUGGCUAAUACCGCGUGUGCUCUGGUCUUCGGUGACCAGAGGAAAGUCCUUUCGGGACGCUUCGUGACGGGCCCGCGUCCGAUUAGCUAGUUGGUGAGGUAACGGCUUACCAAGGCGGUGAUCGGAGCUGGUCGUGAGAGGAUGAUCAGCCAGACUGGGACGUGAGAGACGGCCC